This 32933-nucleotide long non-coding RNA is filed under the name Elaeis guineensis (African oil palm). RNAcentral's name for it is "long non-coding RNA (EGUI_LNC006601)". The record is from RNAcentral. Lineage: Eukaryota; Viridiplantae; Streptophyta; Magnoliopsida; Arecales; Arecaceae.
CCAAAAAAACUUGUUAUGAUGACUUACAUAAUAGUACAUCGACUAGAAAUCCCAAUGCAUACAGUCAUUUGUAGAUAUUGAAAACUGAAUUGCUUGGAAAAAAACCAAUAUCUGAAUUCCCAAAAUGAACUUGUAGACCUUCAUAAUAAUGAUGAAAAAGUUGGUUCGUAUGAACAUGUGCCAUCCAAAGCACUGAAGAUCGGAAUAGAGAAGAAGUGGCCAUAAACAAAAAACAGAACAAGCCUACCACAAGCAAAAUUUGUACCACAGCAUCGUAAGAUGUUACGCAUGCUGCCAUCAGCAUACAUCGGAAAUAUGCAUAUAGAGACAUCCCUUUACGAAUAAAUGGCAAAGCCGAUACAUGGCGGAAAAGCAAGGUGCCACUACACGAAUGAUAGAUGCUUAAGAAAUAGGUAGCAAACAUCUUGAUCAUAAAGGACGGACAAAGAACCUGCAAAAUGAAACAGAACAUAAAGAUUAGACAUAAGAGUAUUCUCUUCUCCGGAACCUCCUUUUUGCAUUUUUUCUUUUAUAUAUUCUUUCUUCCUUUACUUCCUUUUUUUUCUUUUCUUUUUUUUCUUUUAUAUAUUCUUUUUUUCUUUUGUAUAUUCUUUCUUUUUUGUAUAAAAGUUUUUUUUUUCUUUUCCUUUUUUCCCUAUUUCCUCUUUUUUUUCUUUUUCUAUUUUUCUGACUGCAAGUUUUAUUAUUCCAAAAAUUGACCAUUCUUUUCUUUCAAAUAGUAUAUAUAUCAGCACAUCCUCAUGUGUGCGAUCCCGAAUGCCCCACAUAAUGGCAGUAUCAGAAGUACCAUAAUUCAGACAACGUAUUGGUGAAGUAAUGAAAUGUCGAAGAAAAGUAAUGAGCAUCCCAAAAGCGACUGCCAGCAUAGGCCAUAGGCCAAUAAUUCCGCAUCUUCUGCCUAUCACGUUGCAGUACAUUUGAAGAAGUGAAGAAGCCAAGAAACAGGGGUCCUCGAAUGAGAAAGUCCUUUGCCAUAAUGUUCCUCCUAAAACAUAUUUAGAAGCAGCACUUCUUGCAAAGCUAUGCGGUAAGCACAUUGGUGUUGCAGAAUCCCAACAGUUGUUACAAAAGCAACUUUUGAGCUAAGACAAUAAUCUUUGUAUUCUCUUAUAUCAUCCAACUUCGGAGCAAGAAGAGGAAGGAUGUAAACAAUUGUACCUAGUCAUUCCCAUACUCCCUAGAAUAUACCCACCAUGUAAUAGUAAACCCUCAAUACACUCCAGUGAGCCAUAUUCAAAACCAGAGGCAGCUUGAUAUGGAUCAUAUUGUAUACAAACAGAUAUUUUAAACUUCCCAGACCCCUCACCCAUAGCACGAGAGGCAGCUUGAUGUGGAUGAUCUUGUAUACGAGUAGAGAUAUGGCCAAGGGGAGUCGUAGAAGAGAUAGAUGAUAACAGGUAUCGGCCAAGGGAAGUAAGGAAGAUGGAAGGAAGAAUUAAUAAGUAGUUAAAAAGAGAGUGGAAAAACAUGAAGGAAUAUCGAGUCUCAUGCUGAACAGUGCUAUGCCAUCCAUGUAAUCUGAUACAUUGCUACCAAAUGUCAAUCAUAAUCUGCACAAAAAGGUUUGUAACAAACAAACUAUACCAUAUAUCCAUCUGCAUGAAGAAGAUAUAAACAAGAUAUAUCAAUAAGAUCUGUAAACGUCCAUGCGAAAUCACCCUGCAAAGCUUUAUUGGCCAAAUAGUCAGCAACCUGAUUACCUUGCCUAAGGGUAUAACAAACUUUAAAAGAAGUGCAUGAAGAUUCUCAUUUAGUAAUAUCUUGUAGAAGAGGAAGAUGCGGGUACCUAUGCACAUAAGAAUUAUUUAUCCACAAGACCAAAGUAGUAAAAUCACCUUCGAGGAUUAUGUGAGUAGCAUUCAGUGAAAAUAUGGCCUCUUUAAGUCCUAACCAGACAACUAUUAAUUCAGCAAAUGGAACUGACAUAUGAGACAAAAACUUACCUCCCGCAUGGAGCAACUUUGCAUUAUGAUCUCUAAUAAUAUAACCUACAGCUGCUUUAUUAGAAAUAACCGAAGCAUCAAAGUUAACCUUGAUAGUACCCAUGGGUGGGGGCAACCACGAAACUAUAUGAGGAGAUAUAGGAUUAGACAGAAUGUUAUUACGAUUACCCCAGUGCCUAUCAGGAAAUAUCAAGGUAGCCAUGGUUAGAGCAUACCUAGCUAGCUGCUUAGUAUUUGUAGGGAUGUGGUUAAAUAAUCUUUCAUUACAGGCAUUCCACAGACCCCAAGCAACAACGGUGAAAAAACAUCUACGCAGAUCAUGAAGAUAGGGAUUAGACAUAUGGUGUAGCAAAUGUUGUACAGAACAGCUAGGAAAGGGCAAAUGAGUGAGCUGAGAGACAUAUUGCCAAGUACUAGAUGCAAUUGGACAACUCAAAAUCACAUGAUUAAGGUCUUCAGUAACCUGUGAACACAAGUCACAAUAUUGUUGAAAAGCAGUAAGGAUGUCACAAUGAUAAAGAUAUGUUUUAGUUGGCAGUCUUCCCCUAGCAAAGAACCACCAAAAAGUUUUCACUCUAGGAGGAACUUUUUGCUUCCAAAUCCAGCAAAAUGGGACCAUUGGAACAGCAGUCUGAAUGUACAUCUGAGAUGAGAUAUCGGUCAUAUCAUGCAGCGAAAUAUCAGGUAAUUUCAUGUUACCCCAAACUAAUUGAUCAGCCCACUGACCUUUAGGAAUAGGAAGAGAGAAUCUGAUGCAAUAUAUCCGCAGAAAAGAGAAUAGUCAAUUUUUGUAUAUCCCAUUGUCUCGUAGAAGUAAUAACAUCAGACACCUUUAAUUCCAUUGAUUAGCUUUCAAUAUUAAGGUAAGUAGGCAUGUUGAUCAAGGGGCAAGUAGUCAACCAAGGAUCAGAAAAAAGAUUUACCUGCUCCCCAUUGCCAAUUAGCUAUUGAAACUUAUAGUGAACAUAAUAUGCAGCGGCACAAAUUUUAGCCAGAUGACCGAAAAAUUGCAAGGUUUAAAAUAAUGGACCCAAGACCCUGUGAAAUGAUACUUCGCCGUAAUCACUUGAGCCCAUAAGAUAUUUAGGUGCGGAAUUAAAUGCGCAGCAAGUUUAGAUAAGCAUUGAGAGCGGCAAAGACGCAAGGAUGUAAUACCUAAAUCCUAAACCACCCAAAUCUUUAGGUAUACAAAUCUGCUCCCAAGCCACUCGAUGAAAGCCUCGUUGCUCAAUCUUAUGACCCCAAAGGAAUGCUCCAAAUUCUUUUUCAAGCUGAUCUAGAAUAUAACAAGGAAUAUGCACAGCUGAUAACAUAUAUAAAGGAAUCGUAGAGAGCACCGAUUGAAGAAGCAUAACUCUAGCUGCAAAGGAAAGUUUUCUCCAUUUUCAUAGAUCCAAAGGACUAGACACCUUAGAGAAUAAAGGUUGUAUAUCCACUCUUGUUAAUGGGCUAUUGGAUAUCAGAGUUCCUAAAUAUUGCCAGGAUAAGUUUUGACAAGUGAUAUUAAGCAAACUACAAAUUUGAGAUUUAAUUCUAUGUGGUGUAGACAGGCUCGACAUGAUAUGGGAUUUUGAACGAUUCACAACCUAGCCAGAGAAAUGACAAUAAACAUCCCAAAAAGAAGCAAGUGAAGCAGCCUCUUUUACUGUUGAACGUCCCAUAAUAAGGCAAUCAUCAGCAUAAAAGAUGUGAGAAAUAAUCGGCCCAUGACGUAACCGAUAUCCUUGAUAGAUGCUGGAUGGCGGUAUGCAAAAUGGUAGAAAAAAAAAUCAGGGGGGACAACAGACAACCUUGUUGAAGCCCACAUGAAAUCAGGAACCAAGUAGUAGGCGAACCAUUAAUUAACAAGGAAAAUUGAGGAUGCAAAAAAAAAAGCCUGCGUCUACCUCACAAAUAAAGGAUGAAACCCAUAAUGAGAGAAAAUGUGAGAGAGAAAAGACCAACUCACACAAUCAUAAACCUUUUCCAUAUCUAACUUGAGAAGCAUAAGGCUUUUAGACCUUGGAGCCCGGAAUAAAGAAUGAAUGAGCUCCUAAGCUAACAAGAUAUGAAAAGAAAUUUGACAACCAUGAAUAAAAGCUCCCUGUUCGUCUGAAAUUAAAGUAGGUAAAACUUGUUAAAGCAUAUGUAGAAGAACUUUAGCAACCAAUUUAUAGACCAUAUUGUAUAGGCUAAUAGGCCGAAAAUCAUUUGGUGAAGAUGGAUUUAGCUUCUUAGGCACUAGAACAAUAUAAGUUUGCUUCCAAUCAUCAGGCAUAAGAAAAGUAGUAAAAAGGUGACGGACCGCCUUAAUGACAUCAACCUUAACAAUCGACCAAUAAUGCUAAAAGAAGGGAGGAAAACUAUCAGGACCAAAAGCUUUAUCAACAUGCAUAAAAAAUAGAGCAUAUUCAAUUUCAUCAUCUGAAGGAGAAGCUAUCAAGGAAGCAUUCUGGGUGGUCGAGACAGUAGAAAAGAUCAAAGGGUGAUCAAUGAUAUCUAAAUUAGAUUCAGCAGACCACCUGAUGAUGAAAUGAGAAAGUAAAAUCCGAGUAAUAUCAUCCGGAUUAGUAUCCGAAUUUUACUGAAGAAUGCUUGAGUAUCCAACUGCAGCAAAUUGACAUUGACUCAAUAAACUACAAGCAUUCCUAAAAAUUUUCAUUUUUGAAGCAGAAACAAAUAUAAGGUAUUAAAACAUCCAUGCCUACCAAGUUGGCAUUUUGACAUGCGCAUGUUAUGCAAUGUCAAUAUUUGGCAUAAAAUGGUUUGCUGCAGCCUACCAAUCACUGGCAUUCUGGCAUGCAACCGGCAAGAUUCCACUAUGAAAGAUAUUGCCUUGGAGCUGUCAGAACAUAACUCUCACUUGAGAUCCUCGGUAGAUCAAUCUCUCUCAGAUUUUUCCUUUCAAACAAGCUUAUUUCUAAUAACAUGGCAAGUAUUGAAACCCUACACCAAGAAUUCAUACAAAUUUCUAUAUUUACAUCUCAUUUAUCAUGCAUGUCCGAAAUCAACGACUAUAUUGCUAGAUGAAAAUCUUCAAGUUACCUCCAAUUUUUACCUGAAGUCUCCAUUUGGAACAUAAGUAUAUAUCUAGAUGAUUUGUUUUGACAAUAAAAAACACAAGAGAGAUAACAAAGAAACAAUAAAUUGAAAAAUAAAACACGGAUAAUGAGCUUCAAGUCCUGUGGCAUAAAACAGUAUAUAAACCAAAUGUAUCAUUUAAUGAAAAGUGCUUUUGCUUCUACCUAUACCAGGAAUAGACAAACAAGAAGUCUAUCAGCAACCAUUAGUGCUUCAAUGAGGUUCGAUAACUAACAAGCAUGCUUCUGAGAUCGUCAGGUUAGACAAAAAAAAAGAGGAGGGGGGGGGGGUGGGGGCGGACGCGGGAGUAUCUUUAGUCAUGGGUGAAUGCUAUAGUUGACCAAAAUUCUUUCCAGAAUUAUUAGACAAUAUUCUAAUUUCAGGACAUUUCAACCAUCACAACAAAGAGAAAAAGUGAACAUGAUGUAACAAAAUUUACAAGGACAAAGCAGAGCCUUGUUGCUCCUUUGUAACAACAACAUGGAGAAGAAAGAUCACCCUUUUCAUCCCUCCACACUUUUAUCUGUGAAACAGUAGAUGGUCAAGAGUAAAACAAUUAUCUCAUAUCCGGACCUUAUGAGAUGAGCAAUAGGUGGUGGAGAAGAAAGUACAAGAGGAAAACGACAAUUCCCACACCCUACUCUUGAUUAGGGAGAAAAAGAAAACAAUAUAAAAAAGAAUAGAACAGGCUAAACCAAGUAACCAGGUCCCAUCUGACUUGAUGAUAUAUGGCUAGGUCAGGCUACCCUACCCAACAAGUCAGCUAAUAAAACAAAGUUGAAAUAUAGUUUGUAGGAAGCAAUGACCUAAAGAUCAAAGUAAAUUUAACUUUAGAGAUAGGGCAUGAAUUUCAAUACUUAAAAUCACCUACAUUCUGCUUGGAACAGAAAGCAAAAUAGCAGAAACAGUUACUAUAUCAUGAAUUUUUUCAACCUCACAUGUAUUUGCAAUUUCCUAUCUCGAAGGUGGAGGAUAGCGCACCUCUUUGUAUCAAGUCCUGAAGUUGUCCUCGACAUUAAAUUUGGUUUGAAAAGGACAUUAAAUUGGUUUGAAAAGGUCAUCAAAUUAAGUUUUCCUUUUUAGUUCUUUAUUCUUUAAAAAUCUAUUAGAAAAGCAUAUCUUUCAUGACUAAGCUUACAAUAAAAAAAUUUAUGGAGGAAACAUUUGAAAAAGGUAGUAUGCAGGUUGCCUCUGAAAAUUGCAGUCUAUUGCGAAGUUCAAAGAACAUACUGCCUCCUUCACAUCACCUUUUCUAGGGCUAAUGUGCAAGACAUUUGAACCAUCACAUACUAAUUAAAAAAAUAUAACCAUAUGCAUGAUUUUCUUUAUAGUAAACUCACAUGGUUGCAUUUUCUAUUACCUAAAAAGACAUAAAAAAUCAAAGUAAGCUUGAUGCUCCUUUAAAGAAAAUAAUAAAAACCAGAUUAGCUGAUAUGAAAUUCAAAUCAUAGAGCAUGAAACUGGGAAAAUGAACAGUGAAAAAAUACACUUGACCAUUAAAAUAUAUCAUUGCACUUCUGCUGCUGUUCUUUUUUUUUUUUUUUUAACAUCAAUAACACCACAUAGGGUAUGAAAAGGUUUAUAGCCUUACCUUCAUCUGGUACAUGUCCAGUAGCUCAAGUGCGUGCUUCCUCCUUGCUCCACCAGCCAUGUUUGCAUAUAAAUAUUUAUCCAAGGAUCAAAUAAACAUAGUUCUAGUCAUGUUUAGUUAUGCAAAAGCAAAAUAAUCAGAGAAAUUACUAAUGAAAAAAUUGUUGGAAUGAAGAGAACACAAGUUAAAGCAAUUCAACACUCUAUCAAAGCAGUUGUUCCGAUAUCACUUUGCUUCCUUAUAUUAUAUUACUUUGAUACCCUUAUCCAUUGGAGUAUCAAGGAAAAUUCUAGCAAAGCUACACAUAUGAUUAUAUAAAGCAAAAAGAAAUAUACGAACUAUUGAUACAAAAUAAUUUGAAUGAGAAGAACACAAACCUAAAAAUAAGAUAGCCUAAUGCACGAAAGUCCCACCAUUGCAGGGUCUGAGAAGGGUCAGAUGUCUGCAUCCUUAACCUGAAUGCAGAAAAGCUGUUUCAAUGUUUCGUACUCAUAACCUCCAAAUUAUAAUGGAGCAACCUUGCCAUCCAGUGAAGCCUCAUCCUCUAUGACUAAACAACCUAUCAAAAACUUGAGGCCUCACUAGAUAGUCUAAGAAGCAAAACAGGUACAUUUCAAGUAAGCCUCUAACAUUAACAUCUCUAAAAUUGUAUACUUUCAGAUAGCAGCUGGCAGACCAGUAAGAGAUAAAUAAGCAAUAUACCAAGUGAUUAUCAUAGUAUCAAGACCAAUCAAUGAAAAUUUACACGAAAAAGAGAAAUUGAAAAAGGAAAGCCAACAAAGUGAAAGUCCGUUGUUUCCUCCUUUUUCUACAGAGGAAAUAGUACAGUGAUAAGCAUUUAAAUUCUUGAUCCUUUCAUGUACAUAACUAAAUUUCUCUUUGUGAUCACUUCCACAACUACGUAUGUCUAUAACAAUAGAAUAACCACAAAGAAAUUUAUAAGAUUCUAGGAAAUAAGCACUCUUAAGAGCUAUCAUUUUUUAGGAUUUAUAAUCUAUAAUUCUUUAAGGAACUUAGAAGCUAAAAAUCUGGCAUCUUCUUAAGUUCAUUUCGCAUCAGAGGUUUAUAUAAUAAUUUAAGACUAAAAACAAUUGACAUUUGCUCAAAAAAGAAUGAAGGCAUAACAGCUGAGAAAAGUUUCUUUUGGACCCUUGGUAAGAAACAGGCAAGGAUACCUAAAAUCAUAAAAUAGCAAAAAAUCUGGAAAUUGGAACAUUGUGGGAAAAAAGGAAGAUAUGAAUAGGAAUGAAACCUAAAAUCAUAAAAUAGCAUGAAAUCUAGAAAUGGAAAUGAUACAGGAAAACAAAACAAAAAAAGAAAAAGAAAAAGGACAUCAUAGUCUGCUAGAAGAAAACCACCACAUCUCCCUCAUCUCACAGACAAUAUGAGCAAUUGAGUGGCGGAGAAGGAAAUAAACAACUUCAGACCUUGCUAUGAGAAAACCUGAGAAAGGGUGACAAUAUGGUAAAUUGAAUGUUUUGAUGCGGGAGUAUGAUUUGAAGUACCUAUGGAAGCCUUCCUCAAUAAAGUAGCUAUGAAUAAAUUGCCAUCCAUCUAUAGCCUUCAGCUUUUCACCAUCACCUUUACACUCUUCUUCACCACCCUAACUGCUCAAGCAGAAGAUGCUGGGUGAAAGGGCAGAGAAAAGUAUUAAGAGGGUGACACCAAACCUGCUUAAUACAUGACUACACUUUUGCACAUUGAUAUCUGUCCCACUGGUCUUCAUUUUGCUUAAUUCUUUUUUUUUUUUCUUGCGCGCAUAAUGUUGGAGGCUUCUUGAUGCAUUCUUUGCUGACUGUGAAGUGCCCUCUUUUUCAGAAGAGAAAAAAAAAAGAAAAGCCUUAUGAACAUCUCAUCAGCUCCAUUUCAGCACAGUUUUGAAAAUCCAUGACCGUGACUUAAAGAUCAUUGAUUCAAGCAGAUAAAGAAGACCUUCUAGUUGGAUCCUGUUGAUGAAUGAUCCCUCUCAAAAUCAUCGAGUUUCCCACUAACACCAUCUCCUUCACUCUUGAAGAUCUUUUCUUUUUCUUAAGAAAAUAAGAGCCAAACAAUUCAUGAACUGAGAAACACUUCUCCCCAUUAAGGUGUUCUCAUGAACUCAAUUUUACAUUCUAUGAUAAUUAUUAUUGAAAAAAGAAAAUAGCAAACAACUAAGGAAAAUCCCCAUGUAAUUGAUUCUAAUAAUUGAACUUUUUCUCCCCCAUUUUACAUGAACAUCUUCUCAUUUGUGCCACUUCCAUAUAUUUCUAAGGAAAAACAAUCUCACUUCCAUUCAAGAAGGGCAGCAUCCAAUAAUAUGUUCCAUGUGUCCGGAACUCCAGCUAAGCACCAGUGCACAAUCACCACCACUGCACUUUCCAGGGUGACCAUACUUUCUGAGUUGCAUGAGGAAAGUUAUGUCCAGCAAAUAGACUGGCUUCGAUAUACUUCCCAAUAUGCUCCGUACCAUGGUUUCUUGCAGAAUUGGACCGCUGGGGUAUGUUUUUGCCAUCAGUGGUUCUGUUUGUCCAACACAAAUAUUCCCUCACUAGGCCCAAUCCUCUCCACUGUGCCAAUUAAAACCACAAUAAAAGGAAAAGACAAAAGCAAGCAAGAACUUAUGGUAAAGAGUAAAGAUCAACUAAGUCAGUAUGAACAUGCUGUGCUUCUUCAUAGAUAAUUUCCAAAUUGAUAAGGUGCCAAAACUUUAUGUGGGUUGGGGGAAUUCCGAAGUAGAAGACCUUCUCAGACUUUGGAUCAAUGUUGGAGUCCACCCAUCUUGCCCAUCCAUUCAAAGCCUUCCCCAUAGCUUUGGUGCGGUUCAUGUCUUUGAGUAUCUCGUUGCCAUCCUUGAAUAUAAUCCCAUCUGCACCAUAAAAUCCUACAGUCAAAACUUGCUGAAGUAAAUCUGAGAGUGAUGGAACGUAUGGAAUUAGGACAGUGAGAUCUCACAGUCAGCCAGGAUUGCUUUGGUUCCACCAAGGGAACAAAUUGAAGAUGAGAACAUCUGCACUGAGCCAUCCCUGCCCAUUUUGUUGCACAGAGUCCAUCUUAAGGACUUUCCCUAUCUUCUCAGGGACAAUGUCCACCAUAUACAGUGCAAAGCAGCAAGACAACAUGACAUUGUAGUCCUGCAACAAAACCUCUGAUUAAAGAGUGAAAGGUGAGAGAUAUUGGUGUUGGAGCAUAUUGAUUAUCGACACUGCUAUGUAGCCCAAUCCUGGCACCACCUAAAUUCCCUUCAUAUCUAGCAUAUUACAUGACAGCCUCAUAGGGAGAAGUUAUUGUUUGACCUAGAUCCACCACCUCAGAGUGGACCAAUCAUGGACAAGUCCAACCACAAAGAAACAUGCCUAAACACAAAGAAACAAAGAAAGCAGCAGAAAAAUGGAGCAAUACAGGUGUGUCAGUGCAUGUUGCUCUGUGGUUGUAAUGGUCCACAGCUGAGCUAACAGAUCUGGUCCAACAAAUAAUUUUUCCACAUAGGAGGGGAUCAACUAGUGAAAUUCAUGAGAUUGGCAUGACUCAAUGGAGGAUAUUUCUUCAUAGCAGUAAUCCUCGGAUAACAUGUGGUGCUGAACAUGUAGUUUGGUGCCAUAUUUGGGAUUAGGAGAAUUUAUCUCAGGUGACAUAUCGCUUUUUUUUGUUCCCAAGGAAAAGAUAAUUUCUUAAAAACAAAGUCAAUUAACUCUUCAAUUGAAAAAAGAUAGGAAUACCAACCUCAAAUUUAACACUAUCAGCCAGUUUGUUGUAAGAAAUGGUAGUUCUAGGUACUGUCGCAUGUAGCAAGCAAGUACCGCUGAUUCAAACUUAUUGAAUCCCCCACACACAUUAUUGUCUUCCCCCUCAUGCUCUGCAAGAAAUCCUUGCCAUCAAAUCUGCACAACAAUACACCAAUGAACAUCAAGAUCCAUCCCAAGUCACAUGACUAUCACAUAUUUAAAACAAAUGACAUAGUAGGAUGCAAGAAGGUUAGAUUUGAUCAAUUUUUGACAUGAUGCAAGGCCAAUUAUUAAUUAAUCAGCUCAAAAAAUGCAUUUCCACUGCAAUCCACUUUUACCGAAGUAGAUCCAAUUUAUGAUUGUUUUCACUCGAAAAUAAGCUGCCCAUUAAGCAUAAGAAACAUCACUCAACCAUAUACUUGGCAUUCGUUGUGUGACCAAUUGUAGUAUAUAAGCACUAACAAAUUAUUCCAUUACAAGAUUAGUACAGAUGGCACCGGAAGAAUAAGAACCAAUAUUGGGAGCUCACAACUAUCGAGUUUCCACCAGUACUUGAGGUACUUCUUAUCAGGUCAGCCACUCUUCAGGCAGUUAAACAUAGGUCUACUAAAAACGGAUAACCUGCCAAGUCAUAGAGAGGGCAUGAUUCAUCGUAGGGCCAACUUCUUGGAACAAGUUGCACUGGGCCAAGCUCCCUCCACCCCAUUCAAACUCUCCACUAUUACACCACACGAGGCCACAAAGAGUGCUAAAAGAACAUAGUGAUUUAGGAGAGGAACAAAGCCCAUCCUCACUUUAGACCCCAUAGAGAGAGAGAUAAGGACUGUGGGGAAGAAAAGCAAAGGACCUAGGGUUGUUAAUGAAUUAGUUAACCAAGAGGGCACCAACUUCCUUUUUUGAUAGCUUGACUGGAUAAAAUGUCUAAAGAGAGGUAACCAAAUUUAUUUUUGGAUUUUUUGUGUACAUAUCCUCCUAAAUAUUGGAAUUUGCAUAAAUAUUCUUUCAAAAUUGAUAUUUAUAUAUAUACCCUCAUAAAAUACUUAUUUUGCACGUAUAGCCUUCUAUUUCCUUUUUUUGCACAUAUACCUAUGCCAUCUAAUGCCAUUAAGAAAUUAGCGGUUUAAAUUGAAUGACCAAAAUACCCUUAAUGGGUAUGUGCAAAAAGAAACAUUUAUAAGUGUAUGUAUGCAAAUAGUAAUUUUACAAAUAUUCAUGUAAUUUCAUAUAUUUAGAAGAGCAUACAUGCAAAAAAAAAAUCCUUAGAUUUUUUAUGUGAAUACCCUCUUAAAUAUUGGAUUUGUGUGAAUAUCCUUCUAAAAUUGAUAUUUGCAUGUACAUCCUCACAAAAUAUUAUUUUUGCAUGAAUACCUUUGACAUAGCAAUUUAGCUGAUGUCAUUAGCCAAAAUCAUAUCUAUUUAAAUUAAAAAUUAAUUAAAAUUAUGAGAUUAUCUUUUUACUUCAAAAGUGGGUAAUAGGUUAAUGGGUCUUGCUUCGAGCUUAUCUGACCAGUCAAACUUUCCCUCUUCCCAAUAACAAAACCUUUUUUGUUAUCUAAUCAGUGAUCGAUCUUUUUCCUUAGCAAUAUUUUCAUAGAAAAUAUUGAUGAGCAAGCACUAGACUAGUUUGAGUGCUAAAACAAGUUGAAAUAGAUAAAAAUAAAAUUAUUUUUUUUUUUGCAUAUAUAUCCUCCUAAAUAUAUUAAAUUGCAUGAGUACCCUCAAAAGUUGCUAUUUGCAUGUAUAUCCUUAUAAAUUUUUUUCUUUUUGCAUGUCUAGUGAUUAAAGAUAUUCCAGUCAUUUCAAUUUCAAAACACUAAUUUCUUAAUAGCAUUAGAUGGCAUGGGUACGUGUGGAAAAAAAAUAGAAUAUGCAUGCAAAACAAGUGUUUUGUAAGGGUACAUGCAAAUAUCAAUUAGGAGGGUAUGUAUGCAAAACACCCUUUAUUGUUUUAUAUAUUAAUUUCUUUCUUCUGUUGAGGAAGCACAUCUUUUUUUCAUCAAUCACAGUUAUGCCCUUGGACAGAAUCUAAUUUUUUUUGUGUAUCUACGAGAAUCUCCAUGAGAUUUCGUAGAAUAAAGAUUGUUCAACAUUUAUGGGAAUUUAUAAAAGUCGAAAAUUUUCUUUGGUCAACUUUAAAGUCCAUUAAUUUGGAGACUUAUUCCCAGUUUAAGUUUCAUUGCACAAUUCUCCCUUUCAAAUAUAGUCACAAUUCUGGAUACUAAGAUCAUACAAGAUCUCUCAUGCCACCAUCUAUUAUGGAUUUAUUUACCUGUUAUUAUGACAGAGAGAUUUAUAAUUUUUUUUCCACAAACAAAUGUUGUACAUAUCUUUCACUCUAUAGACUUCAAAUUUUGCUCAAUUUAAAUUUAUGUCAACCAAAUAAAAGGACCUCUACAUAUUGUAGAAGUUCUUUUAUAGUCAUUCAACUUAUGCAGUACCAUUAGUAGUGCUUAUGCCCUGGUUUAGUUGGCAAAUUAUGAAGUACUAUUUGUAGUACUUAUGCCCUGGUUGAGUUGGCAAAAUUACUGCAUGUCAAAUACCACUAAUUCAGGUUCUAUCUGAUCCUACUUCACCCUAAUUUAAGUUAGGCUUUCCCCCUCUCAUCCUGAUUCUUGCAACAAAUAAGAUGCUAUAAACUCUAUUAUUAGAAAUGAGCCACUCUAAUAAUUAUGUAUUCGAUUUUUACAAUUUCAAUUAUUAAACUCCUUUCUUGGCAUCUUCCAACAGCUAGUCCAACUUCUAUAAGACCAUUCUGUAAUUAGCCUUUUCAUGACUGCUAUCUUUAAAAACUUUCCAAUUCAACUCCAUUUGCAAAGAGAAACUAUUGAUGAUCCAAAAAUUGCUUUAUCAUCUCAAUCAUAUUAAAAAAGAAAAAACAAAGACUUCCAGUUGUCAACCUUUAGUUGACAUUGAAUACGUGAUAGUUUAAAUUCAGAACCAACAACUAAGCAGAAUUUCUUUCUCAUUUUAGCAUAAUAUUAAUUUGCUCAUAGCCAACAAAAAUUUCAAAUAAAAUACAUCAUACUGAAGAAUGUUUAAGUAUCCAACUGCAGCUAAUUGACAUGAACCAGACAAACUACAAGCAUUCAUAAGAAUUUUCAUUUUCCAAGCAAAAACAGAAAGAAGGGAUUAAAACAUCAUGUGCCUACCACAUCAGCAUUUUGACAUGUACACGUUAUGCCAUGUCAAUAUUUGGCAUAAAAUGGCACCAGAGCCUGCCAUUCAUUGGCAUGCAACCAGCACAAUUCCAGUCCAAGAGAUAUUGCCAGGGAACUUUCCAGACAUUAAAGAUAGCUCUUGCUUGAGAUGCUCGGUAGAUCAAUCUCUCUCAGAUUUUUCCUUCCAAACAAGCUAAUCUCUAAUAAAAAUAGCAACUAUUGAAAUCCUACGGAAAGAAUUCAUACAAAUUUCUACACUUACACUUCAUAUAUCAUGCACGUCAGAAACCAAUAACUGGCAAUGUUGCCAGAUGAAAAUCUUCAAGUUACCACAAAUUUUUGCCUGAAGUCUCCAUUUGGAACAGAAGCAUAUAUCUAGAUGGUUUGCUCUGACAAUGAAAUACAUAUAAGAUAUAACAAAGCAACAACACAUCAAAAAAUGCACAGAUAAUAAGCUCCAAGUACCAUGGCAUAAAACAGUAUAUAAACUAAAUGUAUCAUUUAAUGAAGAAAUGUGUUUGCUUUUACCAAUACCAGGAAUAGACCCACAAGGAGUCUAUCAGCAACCAUUAGUGCUUCCAUGAGGUUCAAUAAUUCACGAGCGUACCUCUUAGAUCAUCAAGUUAGACACACACACACACACACAAAGAAAAGAGGGGGGGGGGAUAUCGUUAGUCGUGGGUGAAUGCUCUAGUUUUUCUUUUUUUCUUUUGUCUUUCUUUCUGGCAAAGGGUGAACGCUACAGCUGACCGAUAUUCUUUCCGUAAUUAUUAGACAAUAUUCUAAUUUCAGGAGAUCUCAACCAUCACAGCGGAAAGCAAACGUCCACAUGAUGUAACAAAAGGAUAGAGCAGAGCCUUGUUGCUCCUUUGUAACAACAACAUGGAGAAGAAAGAUCACCCCUCUCAUCCCUCCACACUUUUAUCUGUUAAAUGGUAGAUGGAUUAGAGUAAAACAAUUAUCUCAUAUCCAGACUGCAUGAGAUGAGCGAUAGGUGGUAGAGAAGAAAGUACAGGAGUUAAAAGGGCAAUUCUGACACCCUAGUCUUGAUUAGGGAGAAAAAGAAAAUAAUAUAGAAAAGAAUAGAAAGGGCUGAACCAAGUAACCAUGUCCCAUCUGACUUGAUGAUAUAUGGCUAGGUGAGGCUACCUUAUCCAACCAGUCAGCUGAUAAAACAAAGUUGAAAUAUUGUUUGUAGGAAGCAAUGACCUAACGAUCAAAGUAUAUUUAACUUUAGAGAUAGUGCAUGAAUUUCAAAACUUAAAAAUUGCCUACAUUCUGCUUGGAACAGAAAGCAAAAUAGCAGAAACAGUUUAUACGUCGUGAAUUUUUGCAACUUCAUAAUUAUUUGCAAUUUACUAUCUCUUCUUGUAUCACGUGCUGAAGUUGUCCUCGACAUCAAAUUUGGUUUGAAAAGGACAUCAAAUUAAGAUUUCCAUUUUAGUUCCUUACUUUUUAAAAUCUAUUAGAAAACCAUAUAUUUCAUGAUGAAGCUUAGCAACAAAGAAAUUUAUGGAGGAAACAUUUGAAUAUGGUAGUAAGUAGGUUAGCUCUGAAUAUUGCAGCCUGUUGCAAGGUUCAAAGAACAUACUGCCUCCUUCACUUCACCUUUUAUAGGGCUGAUGUGUGAGACAUUUGAACCAUCACAUAUAUUAAGUAAAAAAUAUAACUAUAUAUGAUUUUCUUUAUAGCAAACUCACAUGGUUGCUUUUUGUAUUACCUAAAAGGACAUUAAAAAUCAGAGUAAGCUUGAUGUUCCUUUAAAAAGAAUAAUAGAAACCAGAUUAGCUGAUACAAAAUUCACAACAUAGAGCAUGAAAUUGGAAAUAUCAACUGUAAAAAAAGAAAAAAAAAUUGACUAUUAAGAUAUAUCAUUGCACUUCAUUUUUUUUUUCCAGCAAUAACACCACAAUGGCUAUGAAAAGGUUUAUAGCCUUACCUUCAUCUAGUGCAUGUCCAAUAGCUCAAGUGCUUCCUUCCUCCUUGCUCCACCAGCCAUGUUUGCAUAUAAAUAUUUAUCCAAGGAUCAAGCAAACGUAGUUCUAGUCAUGUUUAGUUAUGCAAAAGCAAAAUAAUGAGAUAUAUUACUAGCAAAAAAUUUGCUGGAAUGAAGAAAACACAAUUUAAAUUAAUUCAACACCCCAUCAGAGCAAUUGCUUCAAUCACGUUGCUUCCUCCUAGUUCUAUGAAACAUAGUUAACAUAUUACUUUGCUACCCUUAUCCAUCAGAGUAUCAACGAAAUUCUAGCCAAGCUACACAUAUAAUUAUACAAAGCAAAAUAAAAUAAAGUAACUAUUGAUACAAAAUAUUUUGAACCAGAAGAACACAAACCUAAAAAUAAGGCAGCCUGAUGCAAGAGUCUCCCACCACUGCAAGGUCUGGAAAGGGUCAAAUGCGUGCAUCCUUAACCUGAAAGCAGAGAGGCCAUUCCCAUGUUUUGUACUCAUAACCUCCAGGUCAUAAUGAAGCAACCUUACUAUCGAGCCAAAGCUCAACCUCUAAGAAUACAAACCUGAAACAGCUAAAUAUCCAAUCAAAAGCUCAAGGCUUCAUUAGAUAGUCUAAGAAGCCAGGCACAUUUCUAGUAAGCAUCUAACGUUAGUAUCUGUAAAAUUGUUUACUUUUAAAAUAGCAGCUAGUAGACCAGUAAAAUAAGCAAUAUACCAAGUGAUUAUCAUAGUAUCAAGACCAAUCAAUGAAAAUUUACACUGAAAAGAAGAAAUAGAAAAAAAAAAAGAAAGAAAGCCAACAGAGUAAUAGUCUGUUUUUUCCUCCUCUUAUAAAGAGGAAAUAGGAGAGUAAUAAGCAUUUGAAUUCCUGAUCCUUUCAUGUACAUAACUAAAUUUCUCUUUUUGUUACUACCACAACUACAUAUGUCUAUAACCAAUAGAAAAACCAGAAGAGAAUGCAUACAAUUCUAGGAAAUAAGCACUCUUAAAAGUUAUCACUUUUUAGAAUUUAUAAUCUAUAAUUAUUUAAGGAACUUAGAAGCUAAAAAUCUGGCAUCUUCUUAAGUUCAUUUUGCAUCAGAACUUCUAUAUAAUAAUUUAAGACUUAAUAUAGUUGGCAUCUGCUCAAAAAAGAAUGAAGGCAUAAUAGCUGAGAAAAGUUUCCUUCGGUCCCUUGGCAAGAAAAAGGCAUGGAUACCUAAAAUUAUAAAAUAGCAAGAAAUCUGGAAAUUGAAACAUGGCAGGAAAAAAAAGAAGAUAUGAAUAGGCAUGAAACCUAAGAUCAUAAAAUAUCUUGAAAUCUAGAAUGAAAAUGAUGCGGGAAAAAAAAAUAUGAAAAAGGACAUCAUACUCUGCUAAUGCAAAGAAAACCACCUCAUCUCCCUCAUCUCACAGACAAUUUGAGCAAUUGGAUGGUGGAGAAGGAAAUAAACAACUUCAGAUCUUGCUAUAAGAAAACCUGAGAAAGGGUACCGAUAUGGUAAAUUGUAUGUUUCAUUAUGGGAGCAGUGCAGAUUUGAAGCACCUAUGGAUGCCUUCCUCAAUAAAGUACCUAUGAAGAAAUCGCCAUCCAUCAAUAGCCUUAAGCUCUUCACCAUCACCUUUACACUCUUCUUCACCGCCCUAACUUCUCAAGCAGAAGAUGCUAGGUGAAAGGGCAGAGAAAAGUAUUAAGAGGGUUACACUGAACCCUAUAUCGACCAGCUCAUAGACCCAUUGCCAAACAACCAAAAACCAGGUCAUCAGCAUUAGCGGUUGAUAGGAUGAACGAAUGAUACUGCUUCAUAUGCAGGUUAUAAAUAAGCAAAAUCAAUAAAUAAACUAAAAUCUUAGGGUGAAUUUUGAUAAGCAACUCUACCACCAAAAGCAAAGGCAUUAAAAAUUAGGUUCACAUAUGAAAACCACUGACCUUUCAGUGCGUUAGAGGUUACUGAAUGAAGGAUGUAAUUGUUUACCCAAGUUCAAAAUAAUAGUUUCUGGUGUAAUACAGCAAAAAGAAAAGUCUAAUCACUAAGACUAUGUUGCCUUUUUCAAUUUGUUGAUAAUGAUUUGAUUAUCUCAAAAAAAAAAAUGCUGCAUGACUUGAGUGGAAAUAACACCUUCGAAUUAGCAUGUCUGACACAGCACCAGCAACACAUCCUCAAGUUGCCAACAUGAUCCAUGGAAGUAUGCUUGAGGUGAAUAAAAUAUAUCUGCACCAAAUACUUUACGAUUUUAUAAGCUGGGUCAAGAUUUUAAAUUCCGCGGGAUAGAACUGUCCCAAUUUUUUCAUAGAACGGAUGCCGCCAUUCCUUCCCCCCCCCCUCCCUCUUUCGCCCCCCAAGUCCCAACAUUUGAGACAUAGGAUGUCCCAAGACAUCCCGAUCAGGACGCUGGGAUACUAGCGAAACAGCCUUGUCCCGACACAUAGGAUGGUACUCCAUCCCGAUGUCCCACGGAACGUCCCAUUGGAAUCUAAAUCCUUGAGCUGCAUACUAAAAGUAGACCAUAAAGCUUUCAACAAACAGAACUAAGAAUACAUACAGUGUGAAACUAAACUGGCAUCCAGGAAUGAAUAACAAAGUUCCUUCCUUGCAAAUAAAGUCAAAGGAUGACUUCUACUAUCUGCUUAGAAAAGUGGACAGUAGAUGUUGUUUAUGAACAUGCCUGAUACAAAAGCUAUCUAUGAGCAAUGGUGUAUGGAAUUUACCCAGCUGUCAUUGCAUUUGCAGAAAUUAGAGCCCAUGCUGGCAACUUUGAUAAUAAUUUCAUAAGGGGGGGAUCAAUUCUGGAUUUUUCCCGUUCCCUGGUAGGAGGGAUUGGAAGUCUCAACUCUAGGUUAUUAUGAUAUGGUGGACCAUGUAUCAAGAGUUAGCAAUGUUGCCAACAGCUAUACCAAUGCCUAAAGAUACCCCAAAUAAUGAAAAUGUUAUAAAAGAUCUAGACCAGGUUGCAACAUGAUUUUAGAGAAGCCUGAUUGCACUACCAAGCUGAAAUAUAGCCACGGCAACUUCAAGUGCAUUAGAUCGUUCUGUUUGAGGAAACUAUCUAUGGGAGAAGUCCAGUUUUAACAACUUUAACAACUUGGAAGGAUGGCAGUAAAAACAAAAUCAUGCUCAGAUGAACUUCCUCAUUUCCUCAGACUAUAAACAUGUAUUUGAUAUUAAAGAGAAGAUUAGUGAAAGAAUUUCAAGGAAAAAUGAAGUAUGAGAUUGAUACCUUAUAAACAUGUUUUGCAUAUGGAGCAGUACCACUCCUGCAGCACCCAAAAGAACUCACAUAACAAGUGCAAACUAUAGAGAAGUCUCAGCAGCCCAUGGAAUAAAGAAAGGUGCCACCCACCAAGGGUCACAUCCAUGCCAUGACCACCUUGCAACUGUUAAUACCGUAGAUCCUUCAACUGUGGGAAACAUGAGGUAAUGUCAAAGGAGUGCUCAGUAACUCAUAUAAAUUCAGAGAACAGAUGAGAGUUCUAAUUUCUAAAGCACGUGAAGGUGGGAAAAAAAUUAUCUAUGACCUUGAAUAGAAUAAUUAAUCAACAAAAUUGUCGUAACUCAAAGUUGAAGCCUCAAAUCACCAAUAAACAAAGAAACAAACCGGAAAGGAAAAAAAAAAAAACAGCAUAUUAAAUUGCCAUGCCUACAGCACAAGGCUCAAAAGUUGCUUAAAAAGGAAAAAUAGCUAAUCCGAACAAAUUUCUCCAGAGGAAGUCCUCAAGAACUGAUCUUUUCUGGCCUGACUUCACCGCUAUAAAAGACCCCUUACCUCCUUGGUGAAUUAAAUCAACAAUUUCUGUCAUUUGAAAAAUGCAACAUCAUCGUGAAAGAGAAUUUGGUAUCAUAUAGUGAUCAGGAACAAGUAUUGUCAUCACAAAAUAAAGAUAGAUUGUUAUCCUGCAAUAUAAUACAUGUUACACGUUGUAUUAGAUGUCACUGGAUUCAAUGUUACAGGUUGUCCUUUACCGGAUUAAAUUUAAAAAGAAAGAAAGAUAUCAAGGUAUUUGAACUUUCCAAAGUAUAAUCAAUCUUAUUCGUUCCUUUCUCACAAGCUCAAUAUAAAUUCCAACGAUGACAUACUUAGAUUUCCCUCCACAUUGCUUUCACCCUCUUCCCUCUAUUUGGUCCUACACGCAGAGCGGAAAUUAGAAAGGAAAGAUUGUUUUCCCAAAAACAAAAAAGAAAAAAAGCUUGCUUUCUUUUUCUUGACCAAUUUUUCACUUAAUUUGAAUCCAGCCCAAUUUAAAAGGGGAAAGAAAAGCAUCAAGAACGACACUUGAAUCAUGUUAUCAUGAUGUUGACCGUGACUGCAUCAAGAUCAUCUCUUUCAUCACCAUGUACUCGGUUAAAGCUACCAAUCCUCCGUCACUUCCCUUUCUGACAGUUUUCUUCAAAAAAAACCCGAUGAAACAAGAUGAUGGAUCAAGAAAUAAAAGAAAAGAAUAGAGAAUCAGGACCCUAGAAGCUAGAACCCUCCAAGAAUCCACGACAGCCCUAGCUUGAACAAGAAACCUAUAAUUUCCACCGUACGAAAUCAAUAAAACAAUAGAAACAAGAACCAAAACCUUAACGUCGCAGAACCUUCUGGUACUCGAUCAAAACCCUAAGAGGUCCAAGAAACGCAUAGAAAAAGGGGGAGAAAGAAUGGACGGAGGGAGGGAGGGAGGGAGGGAGCGGAACGAGAGACCAAGAGAAGGGAGUUCUGCGAAGUAGACCUCAAGGGCGGCUAUACCUCUAGCAUGCCGCUCCGUUAGGGCCCUCUCCCUCCUUUCCUUCUUCUCCCGUCGCUCCCUCUUCCUCGCUUUCUCACUCUCUCUGGCUCUCUUGUACACCUUCUUUCGCAUUGCCAGAAACGAGAGCAGCAGAGUUGUACGGGAGGCGUAUUUAUAGAGGCGAUGGCGGUGGGUUCUCAGGAGAUCCGUUAAUGCCGGCUGGCGACGCGGUUUAUCUCGCGCGCGUCACGUCUCCGUUUGCUGCUGUUAUGGGCCUUCCGUUUUGCCGACUUAUGUAAUCCCGUCCGUCGGUUUUUGGCAACGCGCGCCUGGCAUCGGUUUAGCUGGGAAGUGACGUUGUGUACUAACGGGCCGGGUUUCAAAUCCAUGGGACUGAGCGUAGCGUGCGUCGACUGGUAGCCAUAUCCAUAAUGGCAAUUGGCAAACUAGGAAUGACGACUACGCGCGGGAAGCGGUUCUCUGGGGGGUGGGGGUGCAAAUAAGCAGGUACCAAGUGGGCUGGGCUUAUCUUGUACAGCUUCAUAAAGAAUUCUAAAUGUCCUCAUACUGGAACCGGCUCGGCCGUUUGCUCGCUAUUCCCCUGGUUUGACAGGAGAAGGCCGUUUUGUCGAUGCAUGGCAGAUGGGCCACAAUUCAGCAAAGCCCACAGCAAAACAUGGAUUGCAAACUAGGGGCCCUAGUCAAUCGUUGCCAUCAUAAUAUUAAUGAAUGGUCAUGAUUGACAAACAAGCUAUUCUCCAGUCCAAGUACGGAAUCAAAAAAAAUUCAAACUCAGAAAAAGUAAUGAAAUAGUCUUUAGCAUUAAAAAGAAUUCUAAAAAUAGAUUUUUGGAGUUCUUAUAUGGCAAGUCCUUCAUGUCUUGACCUACAUUAGAUAACCUUUUUUUUUUCCUCUGUCAGAUUUUAUCCUCAACUGAGAACCACGGAUCGCCUUUCCUAUUAGUAACCUAUAUUCUAUAUAUAUUGACUCCAAACCAAAAUGUUACCGUGAUAUUGUAAUUAUUGAGGCUAUCUUUAUUUCUUUGUAAAGACAUUAACAAGAUAGCAAGAUGUUAUGGAGGUAGAAAACCAUAGAUACAGGUUCAAUACAUGAAUCUUUAUGAUACAAAUUCAAUAUGUAGAUCAUCUUUAUGAUUUCCGUUGAAGCAUCCAUUAAACAUGCAAUACCACCUGUUGCCACUGAACUCCGGCAAGAUCUCGAGUGAGGUAUCGAAUAAGUGCGCCUAACCUUUAGUAGAGAAAGAGUCUCCAAAAUAAAGUCUUCUUAUCAAAAAUUAUCUAACGGAAGACUCUUCGAUGCUUAAGUUAAUUGGAGUAAGCGAAACAGUGAAAAAGAUUACAGAAGCAAGCGAUUGAUAUAUCUCAAAAAAAUUUAUCCUAAUCUUCUUCUUACCUUCUCUUAUAUAGAGAUGGAGUGAAUGGUUACUUUGUAACUUCUAUUCCUUAAAGUGCAAAAAUGUAGAAGUUACUGAACUUGAUGUGGGUUUAGUAGAUGGUUACUCUAAUCCAUAAUUCUUCAAUUAGGAGUAGUUAAUGCCCUUGUCGUGCAUGGUUUCCAAUCCCUGAUCUUUCAAGUCAUGUGUGAUGGUUCUUUUAUGGAUCCCCGUCCCUCAAUCAAGCAACUUAACCAAUUAAAUGUUGAUAUCAUCAUUGAUCCAUAAAAUAGUCGUAUUGUCAGAUAAGUCGCCGAGUAUCGCCAUUCUGAUAUAAUCGGUAGGCAUCUGAGCAACUCUUGGCAUCGUAAGUAAAUAUCGGCUUUUUUUCAAGUAAAUCCCUCGGACAUUUUUUGAGACAUGAUCCCAACUAUUUACCCUAAUACCACCCUUCCCGAGAAACACAUAAGUUGCCUGUACUAUAGACCCUCAUGCUUAUCAACCGGUGAUUGUUUUUAAGUUCGUGAUUCAUAUUUUUAAGUUGUUUAUCAAUUGUGUUCGCAGUAUUUCUGAAACUAAUUAUUAGAAAGGUGGAAUGGAUUUGGGUUGGGCCAAACCCCAACGAAACUAACUUGCUUGAAGCCCUAACGACAGCAUGUUGAUGUCCUAUUCCUAUGAUGCACCCUCAAAGAAUCGAUGGGUGCAGCUUAACCACCGUUUUCCACUUUUUCCAUUUCUAAUUAUUUUCUCACCAGCAAGGUCGUUCAUGAGGCCGGCGGAUCCAUUGGUGGCAUUAGGUUAGCCUAAGACCAUUCAUGAGAUCGGUGGGCCCAGCGGUUUUUGUUGGGUGGCUUGCCCCAACCAACCUAAAGGCCUUUCUAUAAAUAUAUAUAUAUAUAUAUAAGGCCGCCGAGCUGGGUUAACAAUCCGAAUCACUCAAGCCUGAAUCAGGUUAAGUUCGGCCAUUGAGUUGCCGACAAGUUGAGCUGGAGUGUUGGGUGGCCCAGUGGACGUUCUAGAUGGGGCUUCACCGCUUCAGCUCGCUUGCCUCCAACCUGUUUGACAAAAUUAGCCGAUCGGCCACUUUCUGUGAUUUCCUCCGCAACAAGCAAUCCAGAAAGCGUCUCACGUAGUAACUGCUACGAGGAGUGGUUGCAUUGAGUGUUCUCGAAACACUUCAAGAGCAAGCAUUCCCCCACAGGAAAAAGAACCGCAGGAAAAGAAAAGAAAAGAAAAGAUUCAAAUGCACGAUGCGUUCUUCCAUCUACAUGCCAACCUAAAUGAAGUCGCCACCCACUGAUCGCCGUGCCCUGACCCUCUUCCCCUUCAUUUUGGCUUCGUUUUUGAUCUUUGGAACCACAAGAUUAGUCACAGAGACAACGAGUGCAAGCUGGAGUCAUGUCCUCCGUCGGUCAUUUCCGGCCAUCUUCAGCUCCGCAAGAAGAAAUGCUGCAGAAAUGGACCAUGUUCUCGACCACAGAUGCAAUCUCUUUGAGGGAAAAUGGGUGUUGGAUAAGCAUAAUUCUCGCCCUCUCUAUACUGAAGACAGCUGCCCCUACUUGGCCCGGCAACUGACUUGUCAGAGAAAUGGGAGGCCCGAUUCCCUCUAUCAGAAGUGGAGGUGGAAACCUCAUUCAUGUGAAUUGCCAAGGUCAGCAUCACUUCUAUCUUUGUGUUAAAACUUUAGAGCUUUGACUUCUGGGCUUUGGGAGUAUAACGCGUGCUGGACUGGGUUCAUUCAGGUUUGAUGCUGUGAAGUUAUUGGAGAGCCUGAGGAACAAGAGACUCAUGUUCAUAGGGGACUCGAUCCAGAGAACGCAGUGGGAGUCCAUGGUGUGCCUCCUCCAAUCUAGUGUGGCUGACAACAAGAAGUACCUGCACAAGGAUGCUCCAAGAAAAAUUUUUGUAGCAGAGGUAGGCAAAAUUUGAGUAACCUAGUUUUAUGAGCACCAAAGUCCUCAUACCUGUGCUUCAUUCACUCUGCUUGAGUUCAUUAAUUUGGUUCUUAGGAGUUCAAUGCAUCAAUUGAGUUCUACUGGGCUCCAUUUAUCGUGGAGUCAAACUCGGACCAUGCUACGAAGCACACCGUGCGGAAGAGACUGGUCCAUUUAGACUCUAUUGCCAAGCAUGGCCGGAAUUGGAAGGGAGUCGAUGUCAUGGUUUUUGAUAGCUAUGUGUGGUGGAUGUACAAACCUCUCAUCAACGCCACGUGAGUAGCUCCUUUUCUCUCUCCGCUUCUCUAUUCCAUGGACUCACAAUUCUCUACUGAUUAGUGAUUCGCACGUAGAUAUAUAUCAUAGAGAUAAAUAUCCUUUAAAUUUCGAUUGACAUAUGGUUUCUGUAAUCCUCAAAACUUACUCUUGAACAUGAUGUUUCUGUAAUCCUCAAAACUUACUCUGGAACAUGAUCUGAAACCAUGCAACUCGUAAUCCUUUUGAACCUGAAACAGAAUUGGCACACUUGACAUCUGGCAGUAUAGUGUCCCCACUGCAUAUAGAAUGGCUCUACAAACUUGGGCUAAAUGGGUUGAAUCCACCGUCAAUCCUCAGAAACAGAAGCUCUUCUUCAUGAGCUUAUCACCAACCCAUCUAUGGUAAGUCCCACAAAAAAUAUCAGAGGACCAUCUUGUUUAAUUCCGGAAAUAGUCAUAUGAACUCUGAUAAUUAUACAUGGUGCUACGAUUGUAUAGGAGCUGGGAAUGGAAAGCUGGAAGCAGUGGGAACUGCUUCAACGAGACGUAUCCAAUCGAAGGUCCAUAUUGGGGGACAGGAUCCAGCUUAGAUAUCAUGGCGGCAGUGAGAGAUGCCUUGCAAGGGCUCAAGGUAAAAGUAACCCUACUGAACAUCACCCAGUUGUCAGAGUUCCGCAAGGAUGGGCACACAUCAGUUUACACCGAGAGAAGAGGCAAGCUUUUAACAAGUGAGCAGAGAUCAGAGCCCAACGUAUAUGCCGAUUGCAUCCAUUGGUGCCUGCCUGGCGUACCAGAUACAUGGAACGAAAUAUUGUAUGCAUAUUUGUUAUAUAGAAAGUCGUAGCAACUGAGCUCGCGUGACAUAUAAGAUGUAGGUGAGGAACCAUGGUAACACGAGCGCAAUUGUUUGCUCAAUAAAACAUCAUACAGCCCUUCAACCCCAUCAUAAUAAUUGUUUUGAAGCCGGCACAAAGAUAUAUUUUUGGGUUUUCCCAAUCAUAAAAAUUGAAGUUAUGCAUGCUUCAAUUUAAAGUUAACUUGCUUCAAUUUUGAUUUCUUUCUAUUAAUCAAUGCUAGAUGGUACGUAGGUCUCCUUCUCAUUCUUGAAGGACUGGUCCUUGGCCUCUCCCCUUUUUAACGCUUAUAUCCGCCGUGAGUAGCCAAGAACUCUUUGUUGGUCAGGUUGGUAAGGCAAACUGUUUAACGGCCAGUUUGUAGGACUCCCCCCCUGCACGCUCGCCCAUAUUUAUCCAUCCAUUGCAUGUAACUCUCCACCGUAAAAUCAUUGUAUGUGCUGUGAGACACAACCGGCCAGCUCCACAACCCAAAUAUAAGGAAGAAAAGCACUAGGCAUUGUAACGUAGAAGCCAUGUUAUACUACUGCGUGCCACUGGAGGCAAGUUCUAACACUAGAAAGGUUCUUCGUGAGUUUAUAUAGAGGUUUUUGGAGAUGUAGCUCGGUCUAAGACGGGUGGGAGGGAGGGAUUUACAGUGAUGGUAUUGGUUUGAGCGGGUUUAGCGGUUAGCCUGAAACGUGUACCUUCUCUGCUCACGUUACUGCUGCGUGCAGGAGUGAGCUACUAGACGGGUUGUAUCUUUUGCGCAAGAAAAGGAUUCACCUUCCUUGGGCAUGAAUCCUCCGUCACAUCUUGAAAUAGUUGCUUCAAGAUUUGUACAAAUAAGAAUUUGAAAUACUUAAGAGAUUUAUGUAAGCAAUCCAAUGAUUGAUGUUGUAAAAACAGAACGACCAUUUUUUUCGUGCAAAAGAAUAUCAGUCAUGGAACUAAGUCCACAUAGGCGGACGUUAAAACACUCCAAUGUUGUAAAAGUAUUUUUUUCUUUGUCAUGGCACUCUAAAGAAGGGAACCAUAUGAGACCAUAGAACCAGUUACGUACCUGAGCAUUCAUUUACCAAAAAAAAAAAACUCCUCAGAGAACUGGAGCACACAGCAGCAGCCUUGCACGCUGAGUAAAUGAAACCUCCAGGCAAGGACCAGAUUUUCUUUUAAGCAUGAACCGAUAUUAGCUUUAAAUUUGUAAUAUUGAGAACUCUGAUUGCAUAACUAAAAAAACUAAAAAAAUGAUGGCUACACAAAACGCCAUGCUAAUAUAUAUGAACAAAAAACUUUAGUUGCAAUAAAGUUCCUAAUGAAAGUUUUUUUUUUUCUUAAGGCCCCCAGAAAGGGAAGCACAAACGUGUGGCAAGUAUUUUUGCAAAUUGGCUCGUAUAAUGAAUUGAGCAUGGCUUAUUAUUAAUCUAUCGGACUGCAUAGCCAGCAUCAUGGCAGAGAAAUAGCUCGCUUAGAUGGAAUGCCUAGUUAGCAGCUUCUCACAACCUUACAGGAACUCCCAGUCAGCCUCCAUGGUAUCGUGAAUAGAAGCAGCAGUAAUUCCUUGCCUGUCUUGCAUUCGCUUACUGUUAUCCUGGUGCCAAUAUGCUGCCUGCCCAUAAUCCUUCAACGGUCGCAGUUUUGAAAUUAUAGCAGCCCUGAGUUUUUUCUGAUGAAGAAAACAAAUGUCACUUUGCAAAUUUUGGCUCACAAAGAGCAAAGUUCAUAAAUACUUGCACAAUGUUGUAAUUCCAAAACUCCAGAUGCAGAUACAUCAUAAAGAACCGCAGAUAGAAAACUGCAGGAAAUAAAACUCAGCAGGAGGAAGUGGUUACCCUCCUACAAGAAAUGAAAUCAGGCAAAAUUCGGCUGUGUGUUGGUCUAAAUACUUGGGAUAAUAAGAACUCGAUCAACUAUUAUGAUUGAGCAUGUUCAUGCUUUCUCUGCAUCAAUAAGUCAACCAGGGGGGUGCGGGGGGGGAAAGAGAUGAUCAGCACAACCUCUACAUAAGAACCAGCAGGGGAUGAUAAAGAACAGAUUCUGCUAGAAAGGAGAUCAAAGUGGAUAGGCAGACCCUUGUUCCAAUCCAGUAAAUCAGCAUCUAAGUUUUGGCUAUGCAGUCUUAGCAAGAUACUAACAACAGGGUUUCCAAUGUUCACUAGGGGUAGUCAGGGGAAAACACACUGAAGACAUGAUUCCAAUAAAGAUCAAAUGGAUGCAUAUCAAUGUUUAUUUUCAGCACUAAUGUCUAAUUGGACAAAUGUCUGUGAAAAAAGAACUUGCACAAGGAUCCCAAGAUCCAAUCCAGAUGCAAACCCAACAGGACCCUACCCAACCCGAACUAUAUGAAACAUCUGAUUUGGUCUAAAUGCAGACCCCACUUACAUCUGUAGUUACAAUUGGGUUCCUUCAAUACAUAGACCAAAUGGAUUAGGUAGCUCCCUAACCCAACCUGACAUGAGAAUACAUACAUACUAUACACACACGAGCAUGUACAUGGAUAUAAAUUUGAUGCACCUAAUAAAAUGAUCACACUGCUAUGUACGUUUAGAGCUGAAAAACUAUCUUCAGGUGAUUAAUGAUGAUAUUUGAACAAGGCAAGACAAGUAGAAACUAAUGUCAUAUAGUAAGGAAGUUUAUAUGACCUGAAUUAUAAUGAUAACAAAAAGCAUGCGAUGUAUCUAUGAAAUAGUAGUAAUCAAGAAUGUGCGAUGCACGUUUCAAGAAAAAAUAUUAUAAAAUUUUACAUUAUAUAAAUUAAAAUAACAAUAAGAAUAAGCAUAUUUCUUUAUUCGUUAGCAGCUGUUUAGUUAUUUUUUUCUAAUUUGUUUACUCUCAUAAUAUCUUUGUUAUGAUUAUUUGUUUCUAGCAGGUAUCUCCAAUUUUUCAUAUUUGUCUUCUAUCAAAUAACAAUCUUUCAAAUAUUUAUUAAAUUAGAUCUCUAAUGAAUUUAUUUAUCUUUCUAAUUGUUUUCGUUACUUGUUUGGUUGUUCAUAUGGUCACUGCAUUUGUUUUUUCUUAUAAUUGUUUGCGCACAAGCUAGGGGAAGUGGAGAAAUAGAGGGAGGAUAUGUUGGUGGGAGUGACAGAGGGAAGCGGGUUAUGGGGGAGUGCACAUGUUUUAAGCGAAUUAAAGAUGGGAGAGAGCGAGGAUGGACAGUCCAAGAUGUUUGGAAAUUUUGUGUUCACCUGUUCUUGGUUUAGUGUGGUCUGUUCAGGGAAGGGGAAAUGAGAAAGAAGUAACUAAUGGAGCUAGAGAGGGAGAUGGGGCGGCGGCGGCGAGAGAGAGAACACAAUGUGAUCACUGAGAGGGGAGCGAGCAAUUGGUGUAAUUAAAGAAUUUUUAGGAUAAGUAGAAGGGUAUAUUUGGAAUGAAAAUUGAAAGAGAAUUAAAACAUACACUUUAAUUUGGAAACUAUCAUUUAAAUAGUAGUAUAGAAGUGCACCAUCAUGGUAUAUAAUGAAUGCUAAUCAAAUAGCAAACAGCUAAUGCAAAUCCUGGUAAAUCUGGAAGACUGCAUCAUACAAACCGGAUGGCCAUCAUUUCUCAUACACAAUUAGACUUAAUAUGUGGGCAGAUACAGCUUCUCAUAACAAUGAACAUCAAACACCUACAUAAUCACAUGAGCUGCAGCGCACAUCAUGGCCAAUAUAUGUCAGAUCAUGUAUAAGCAAGUGUAGACAUUUUAGGUAAACACACACACGGCAGUGUUGGUGCCACUUUUGUUUGAUAUGCAAGUACGAUAUCCAUGAAUUGCAAGUUACCUUGUAUGACCUAUUCUUGAAUUCCUGACAUGAGACCAAAGCAAGUUCAUAGUCUUCAUCGUCAUCAUCCCAGCUAUCCUGAAGAUCUACAUCUUCAAGUUCUCCGAGUUCUGUGCUCAGGUCAUCCAGAUCAGUACUGUUGAACAAGCUUUCCCUGGCAGAGAGGUCUGAAAUUUCUGAAACAGCUGAACUUACAAAAAACCACUUAUCAGGUACUUGAGGAAUUAAAAUAUAAAAGAAUCAACCAUUCGAUAAAAGUGUGGGUCUGCCCAGAUGCAAAAUCAGCAACAAUAAACUGAUAUUCCCUUUUUCUUAUUUUUGUGGAGAAGUGGUCAACUGAAGUUCAUUGUGUGUAAUUUUGCAUGUAGCAGUAAAUAUCAGAACUCAGAUGGGUGAAUCAUUUGAAAAUGAAAAAUAAAAUAAGAAAAAUCAAAACAUAACUUGUCAUACGUCCCUGCAACAAGAACGUUUGGUAUGUUUAAACAGGAGGUGCUCAGUGAAGCGCAAAUGGCCCUAAGAAUUUCAGGGAGGGAAGCAUCAAUUGAUCAGGUAAGACCUGACUUGGGGUCUGCUCAAAGCCUGGGCCGGGGCAAAAACCACCAGGCCCAAGCCUGAUUUCAGCCCAAAAAGGCCAACGCAUACAAGGCCUAGAUUCCGCCUGAGCUUACUGUAUCUUCAGGCAGUACUUGGAACAAGUCCUGGUAGGAACCCUAUUUUCAAUUUAAAAAUCCUAAAUCUGAGCCUGGCCCAAACCUGUUCAACCUGAAGCUCUCAUGCCAAUUCCCAGCUCAGCCCAACAGCCUGAUUUCUUAGCCAAAAGUCCAGAUUUUUCAGUCUUCAAGCCAACCCUGCAUUUACCAACUUGCAUUUGUGAUGGUAGCUUUUCAUCUCCCUUUGCUCAUCAUAAACAAAACCUCAUUAUUGGUUUUGUGAUGGUAGCUUUUCAUCUCCCUUUGCUCAUCAAAACAAAACCUCAUUAUUGGUUCUGAGUCAUGAACGGAAUUCCUCUAAUCUUCAAAAGCUUUCAGUUCUAAUACUAAAAUGGUGCAGAAAGGGCAAGGCGUGGUAGAGGAAAAAGCAAAAAUUUCUCAGCAGAAGGAAACCAUUGUUGAACUAGGAAAAUGAAGAUAUAUCAGAAGAAAAUGACAAAAGGAAUCUAAAUCUGACUUUGUAACUUUACAAGUGAUGCAUCACAUCAAACCAUAACCACAACUUUUCAAUACUAAGGGCCUGCUUACAACCCGAGCCACUAAAUUAUGUACUCUCUCAUAAAAACUCUCAAGCUAAAUCCAUGAUUGAGAAAAUCCAGAGAUCAGAGGAGUCUAGCAUCCUAUUAUUCCAAAUUUAGAGGGAUAUGGAAUCAUCUUUCAAUCGGUUUCUAUUAAUUUUACUGAUUCUGAGCACCUCCACUCCCCUUAAACUUCUGCCAAUUUUAAGUUAUUUCCCAACCCCUUUUGCCUGCCAGCAUAUUACAUUCAGCAAUUAGGUGCUCGCACGUCCAAAUUGGCUCUCAAGGGAGUUCAGGGAAAACCACUACAAGAAUAGAGAAGUAAUGCUAAUGAUUUUUAAAUUCUGCUACUUUACCAGUUUACAGUGACAGAGAGACUCAAUUCAAUCCCUAAAGAAGCUCAGUGGAUUAUAUCAUAACCUCAAAGUAUGUCCAACAAACAUUACUGAAAAACCAAUGCUUAGGCAAUAAAUCUGAAACCAAUUGUAAAACUAAAAUUUGGGCAUAAGGAUAUAGUAGAUAGUAGAUGUGGUGGUGCCUAGGUUGACUUACAAGGAGCAUUAAUAAUGUUCCUAAUGGAAAACUGCCGGUCAAUGACAACACAAGGAUGAAGCCUGCAUUCCACUUAUCAAGCCAAUUUAGGUAGACUAAUGAACAAGGAACCGGAAAAUCUUUCUAUAGUUAAUAUGUGGCAAAGUGCAUGAGCCACUAAAAUAUUAUUGAAUCAAAAUCAUACUUUAUAGUACACAGGUGAUAAAAUGCAACAGCCAGUACAAGGAAGAAAACAACUGGGAAGUUAUGCACGUACCAGAUUCUGGUAAUUGCACAUCAGCCUCUGAUCUAUUAGUUCCAAAUUUUUGCUGAUGUUCAUUUCCAAGAGAAUGCACAAGAGAUGCUAUGCCCCUAGAUGUAGAGGUGCCUACAAUGACAUCUAUUUAGGUAAAUCUUAAAAUGGUAUACAACAGCAGCAAUGCAAACAACAAAAUAAGCAAACACUGUAGAUUGUUGAUCAGAAUAUCCAUACUGCAUAUUUCAGUUGAUGCAUUAUUGCCUGACAACAUGAACCUUUCUUCAAGAACCAUAUUUUUUUUACGGGACUCUGAUGGAAGGGCUUCAUCAGUUGAUAGAGCACUUGUGAAGUCAGAAGAUGUGAAUGCAUCCGCAAGUUUCCUAUAAUUUCCAUCCACACCUGUGCAACUAGAAUCUGUAGCUUCAGCUGGAAUUUGUUCCUUUUCACGUUCGUUGCUUAGAGUAUCUUGGGCUACAUCAGGGGGUGUGACUAGUUUCAUAUCUUCCAUUGAAGAAAUAAUAGGCUCCUCUAUGGCAGAAGUUGCUAACUCAUUUAAGUUGUUUUCAUCAACUCUUUCACUUGAUUUCUUCCAAAGCUCUGUUGUUGAAUCAGUAUCACUAGAUUUAUCAAAAUCUGUCUCUUUAGCAUGAUUACUAGAAGGGUCAAGCCAUUCGUCAACCUCGUCAAGGAACUUUUUAACAUGUUCACCCAUUACAUUAACAUAUUUGCAAGGAACCUGUCCAACAAAAUAAUGCAUUAUUUUUUAUUAGAAAGAAUAAAAAACAAAAUAAGUUAUUUAGGAGGGGGGAAGAUAAGGAUCUCAUAUUACUAGGCAAAUCAAUUUAUAAACUACUUAUUCUGUUCAAGAUAAAAGAUGCCAACCUGAACCAUUUUAUUGGCACGAAUUUUUUCUACCUUCUGGUAUACGUUGUCAGCCCAAGAUGAAUUUUCUUUUUGAGAGAAAACCCACCCUGGAUUUUCAAAUGUAAAAUCCAUGCUGAUCAAAGAUAAGCUCCUGGAAGAGAAAAAGAAUCAACAAAAAUUCAUCACCCUCUCUUGUCAUGGAAGUUUUAUUGAUCAAACUUUUCCAAAUUUUAAUUUACACUGCUCACCGGUCAUCGACAUUAUGUUUACAAACACAAAAUGUAUAAAACAACUGCACAUUAAAAGAACACAAACACACAGAUGCACAUGCACACACAAUUAAACAUUCUUGGUGAGACAAAGCAUUCAUUUGUUUACUCCUAAGAAUGAAAAUAUCAGUCCAAUUCUAUGAUAAGAAAGCAGAAGAAACAAUUGUAUAAAUAGAUUAGCAUGAAAUUACUCCAUAACCAUUCCCCAAAAACAAUUAGGCUAGGGUUCCUUCAAGGAUGACAGCAAUAACAUCCAAACUUAUUGGUCAUAAUAAGUUUGCAACUUUAAGUCGCUUGCUUUAAAGCCCAUUGAUUACACGUUUUCGAUUAACCUAACAGCGACUAUAAGUUCUGCUAGUAAUUCCCAAUGCAUCUCCCAUAGCAUUUACAACAAGCGAAAUGAUAUCAUACUGAGAUCGAAAAUCAGCCAUGGGAAGAGAACUAAUGAAGAUUUGACUGCAGCUUGUUAGCAAGGACCUAUCCCCAGCUAAGAAUUGGACCUAAUUUCCUAUAAAACUUUGUGAUAGUUAUCCUAACAGUUGAUGGUACAAAUGUAUUUAGCACCAAGAUCACGUUACAAACUCACGUUACAAACUAACCAUAAAUUUACUUGAUAUCCCCAAAUAGAACUGAAUGGUGCCCAUUACAUAGGGGUUGAUAGAAGAACUACUCGUAACUUGUAAUAUAACAGCGUUCCUUUCUUUGGCAAAAUCACAAAGCUUAAGUACAUCUUUUAUGCCUCUGUAUCCAAGAUGGAUUAAGCUGGGAAGCAUGACUCACUAAUAAAUUUUAAACUUUCUGAAAGGCUUAUAACAUGGAAGGUGAAAAUGGAUAGAAGAGAGAUCAAAUAGAAGGAAAACUGUGCAGUCACACAUGGGCAGAUCAUCUGACAGCCACUUUCCCCUGCAUCAUGGCCCCAUCCUGUGCACACAAACACAUAUACACAUGCACACAGACACAAUCACAGAGAUAUUUCUCGGUUCAAACAGAGCUAAACUGUUUUCUUCCCCAUAAAAACAUUGAUGCCAAGAUAUCAAUUAUGAGUAAUCGUUUACAUUGUUUAAAUUGGGAUUCCAAAAAUAUUCGAACUUUCAUACCUUACAAUGGGACUUGCCAAAAUAUUUGCAUUAAGAGAUUUUGAAGUUGAAAAUAAGGGUCGGUCCAAGACAGCGUAUUAGGCCAUUAUAAAAGUCACUUCACGCUAAAAUUCUUGCACAGCUACAUCCUUUUAGCAUAGAAUUUGUCACGCCACGGAAAAAUUAAACCUCAGAACUCCAAAAACACCCAUGGGAGCAUGUUACUACUAGACAGAUAAUAAACAGAAGUUGAAACAUGCAACAAACUCCUCCAAACCGAGAAACAAAAGAAAGAAGGAAACUGAAGUCCAACAUAUAUUCGCAUAAUGGACAUAGAUGAACAACGAUCCUUAGCUGAAAGGUAUCCAGCCUACUGCUGGAUACCUAAAACCACAUUAAUUUAAAUCACGAACUAUC